GUGCUCACUUCAGUAAGCACUUAUAUUAAAAUUGGAAUGAUACAGGGAAGAUUAACAUGACACCGAGCAAGAAUGCAUUCCAGAUUUGUUUUUAAAAAAAAGUUUCA
Molecule: small nuclear RNA, 107 nt
Filed under: Salvator merianae (Argentine black and white tegu)
Lineage: Eukaryota; Metazoa; Chordata; Lepidosauria; Squamata; Teiidae
Source: RNAcentral